UACGUAGGGUGCGAGCGUUGUCCGGAAUUAUUGGGCGUAAAGAGCUUGUAGGUGGUUUGUCGCGUCUGCUGUGAAAAUCCGAGGCUCAACCUCGGACUUGCAGUGGGUACGGGCAGACUAGAGUGUGGUAGGGGAGACUGGAAUUCCUGGUGUAGCGGUGGAAUGCGCAGAUAUCAGGAGGAACAGCCGAUGGCGAAGGCAGGUCUCUGGGCCAAUUACUGACACUGGAGAAGCGGAAAGCAUGGGGAGCGAACAGG
This 257-nucleotide ribosomal RNA is filed under the name uncultured bacterium. RNAcentral's name for it is "partial 16S ribosomal RNA". It matches the Rfam family "Bacterial small subunit ribosomal RNA", at positions 524 to 776 of the family's 1533-position model. The record is from RNAcentral.